RNAcentral lists this ribosomal RNA (468 nucleotides) under uncultured bacterium. Its description in RNAcentral is "partial 16S ribosomal RNA". It matches the Rfam family "Bacterial small subunit ribosomal RNA", at positions 28 to 507 of the family's 1533-position model. The record is from RNAcentral.
GACGAACGCUGGCGGCGUGCUUAACACAUGCAAGUCGAACGGAAAGGCCCUGCUUUUGUGGGGUGCUCGAGUGGCGAACGGGUGAGUAACACGUGAGUAACCUGCCCUUGACUUUGGGAUAACUUCAGGAAACUGAGGCUAAUACCGGAUAGGAGCUCCUGCUGCAUGGUGGGGGUUGGAAAGUUUCGGCGGUUGGGGAUGGACUCGCGGCUUAUCAGCUUGUUGGUGGGGUAGUGGCUUACCAAGGCUUUGACGGGUAGCCGGCCUGAGAGGGUGGCCGGCGACAAUAGGACUGAGGUACGGCGCAGACUCCUACGGGACGCAGCAGUGGGGAAUAUUGCACAAUGGGCGGAAGCGUGAUGCAGCAGCGCUGCGUGCGGGAUGACGGCCUUCGGGUUGUGAACCACUUUGGCCUGUGACGAAGCGUGAGUGACGGUAAUGGGUAAAGAAGCACCGGCUAACUACGUG